Molecule: non-coding RNA, 83 nt
Organism: Zophobas morio
Lineage: Eukaryota; Metazoa; Arthropoda; Insecta; Coleoptera; Tenebrionidae
Source: the annotation of a RefSeq genome assembly
GCCGGUUUGCCCGAGUGGUCCAAGGGGUUCGACUUAAGAUCGAAUAGACAACGUCUGCGUGAGUUCGAACCUCACAGCCGGCA